Non-coding RNA from Gymnogyps californianus (California condor), 456 nucleotides. The record is from the annotation of a RefSeq genome assembly. NCBI's taxonomy places the organism in Eukaryota, Metazoa, Chordata, Aves, Accipitriformes, Cathartidae.
AUGGUCCUGAUUUUCCUGGCAGCACUGGUGGGACUGGCAGACUUUGGUCAUGCCCAAAAGGACUCUGUGCUCCCGUUUCCAGCAGAAAUGACCGUCCAGGCAGGACACAGCACAGCUCUGCACUGCAAUUUCUCCACCAGCUAUGCCAAUCCCUACAUCUUCUGGUACCAGCAGCGCCAGAGCCAGCCCCCUCAGAUGCUGCUGCGGGUGGACAAAUGGAAAUCUCAGGCGGGUUCAGGGAGGUUCUCCUCUGCACUGUCUGCGGAGACCUCCCAGGUGCUUCUGAACAUGCGGGAUGCCGAGCUCCAGGACAGCGCUGCCUAUUUCUGUGCACUGAGCCCACACUGGUGCCCACAGCAUGCAGCACUGCACAGAAACGGAAACCACCAGUGCUCAGCUGGGAGGAACCCCUAUGUCCCUGAGUCCAUGCUGGUUUCUCUGUCCAACAGCAGGUAA